Long non-coding RNA from Nicotiana attenuata, 526 nucleotides. RefSeq lists it as uncharacterized. The transcript has 2 exons. The record is from RefSeq and is a predicted model, not a curated record. Lineage: Eukaryota; Viridiplantae; Streptophyta; Magnoliopsida; Solanales; Solanaceae.
UCUGAAGAUUGAGCUCGAUUUGAACUGAUUUUCUAGGGUUUUGAGUUCGAAAAUUGUCGAACGAGUUUUUUUUGAGGAAGAAGACCGACUUGGCAUUCAGUUUUGGUGAUUGUCCUUACAAAUUAGCUACUGGGGUUUGAUUAUAGGGCUGUUAUGAAGCUUGUACUUAGACUUCAGAUGGUUUAGAGCCGAUUUAAACGUGAUUUGAUUGGAAAAUUUUUGGGCUGAUUUUGUGGAGAAAAAGAACUGAAUUCUUUGAAUUUGCGGGUGAUAUCUUCAAAUCGAUUUCUGGCUGAUAUUGAAGGUCGAAGCAGAAGAACACUAGUUUCAAUUGAAGAACUUCGCGGACUGAUUCGACUCAACUCGAGCAGCUGACAAAUCGUCGCGACGAAACAGGUUUGAUUCUUUGUGAUUAGAACUGAGCUUCAUCUCUGAUUUCUGGGAAUUUGAGUUGAAUUAUCUGAAUUGAAACUGAAAAUUUCAUCUCUAUAAUUCUGGAAUUUUAUUAUUGUUGCGCAUUGGCUCA